GAUGAAGAACGUAGCAAAAUGCGAUAAGUAAUGUGAAUUGCGGAAUUCAGUGAAUCAUCGAAUCUUUGAACGCACAUUGCGCCCGCUGGUAUUCCGGCGGGCAUGCCUGUUCGAGCGUCAUUUCAACCCUCAAGCCCCCGGGUUUGGUGUUGGGGAUCGGCUCUGCCCUUCUGGGCGGUGCCGCCCCCGAAAUACAUUGGCGGUCUCGCUGCAGCCUCCAUUGCGUAGUAGCUAACACCUCGCAACUGGAACGCGGCGCGGCCAUGCCGUAAAACCCCAACUUCUGAAUGUUGACCUCGGAUCAGGUAGGAAUACCCGCUGAACUUAAGCAUAUCAAUAAGCGGAGGA
This 348-nucleotide unclassified non-coding RNA is filed under the name soil metagenome. Its description in RNAcentral is "partial contains 5.8S ribosomal RNA, internal transcribed spacer 2, and large subunit ribosomal RNA". The stretch from base 1 to 120 matches the Rfam family "5.8S ribosomal RNA", at positions 35 to 154 of the family's 154-position model. The record is from RNAcentral.